This 494-nucleotide ribosomal RNA is filed under the name uncultured bacterium. RNAcentral describes it as "bacterial SSU rRNA". It matches the Rfam family "Bacterial small subunit ribosomal RNA", at positions 28 to 534 of the family's 1533-position model. The record is from RNAcentral.
GACGAACGCUGGCGGCGUGCUUAACACAUGCAAGUCGAACGAUGAUGCCUAGCUUGCUAGGUGGAUUAGUGGCGAACGGGUGAGUAACACGUGAGUAACCUGCCCUUCACUCUGGGAUAAGCCUUGGAAACGGGGUCUAAUACUGGAUAUUACUUGAGCCUGCAUGGGUUCGGGUGGAAAGCUUUAUGUGGUGGAGGAUGGACUCGCGGCCUAUCAGCUUGUUGGUGAGGUAGUGGCUCACCAAGGCGACGACGGGUAGCCGGCCUGAGAGGGUGACCGGCCACACUGGGACUGAGACACGGCCCAGACUCCUACGGGAGGCAGCAGUGGGGAAUAUUGCACAAUGGGCGAAAGCCUGAUGCAGCGACGCCGCGUGAGGGAUGAAGGCCUCGGGUUGUAACCGUACUUCUAGCAGGAAGAAGCGAGAGUGACGGUACCUGCAGAAGAAGACACCGGCUAACUACGUGCCAGCAGCCGCGGUAAAACGUAAGACG